Long non-coding RNA from Pyrus x bretschneideri (Chinese white pear), 3780 nucleotides. RefSeq lists it as uncharacterized. The record is from RefSeq and is a predicted model, not a curated record. The transcript has 6 exons. Lineage: Eukaryota; Viridiplantae; Streptophyta; Magnoliopsida; Rosales; Rosaceae.
UCAAAUCAGAAGCAUAUGCUGAUGCGGUCAAGUUUUAUACAGGAGCAAUGCCAAUUUUUAAGAUAUAUGGAGACUCCUCAUUCCAGGAUUGUAAGCGAGUAUCUGAAGAAGCAGUGACCAUAAUUAUCAAGAAUUUGCAGGUUUAUCCUUUUUUUUCUUUCUCUUUCUUUCCAUUUUAUACUACGGUGAGGCUGGUUUUUCUCUCCACCCAUACCUAACCAGAAACAAGUAGAUGUCUUAUCCUCACUUCCUUGCAAUGUUUCUCACUCGGGGUAAACAUAUAAUCUAGAACUCUAUUUGCUUUAAUACAUGGAUUGGCGUUAAAUGCAGUUUUUGGUGGAAGUAUUACCAUCAAUGUUGGUAAAUGAUUAUGCAGUCUGUUAGGUAUUGUGCAUAUAUCUCUGACACAGGAUUAGUUUUAAGAUGUAACAUUGAGGUACUGCCCUUAAUUCUUUUGUGUGGGUAACAUUCCCUUUGGAUGAAUACAACGUUUCAGUAAUAUGAUGCAUAUGUCGUCCUACAAUGAGCUCUUGGGCUUGCUGUGAGGCAUGUGUCUGAAGUAAACGUUAUGAAUCUAGGCAUGAAAUUUUUCACUAGCUAUCAAAGGUAUUGCUUAUUAUCCAUUUAAUGUUUACCCGUGUCGUAUUACAGUACUUUCUUAAGCAUACUUUGACAGAAGAAUGGACAUUCACCAUCUGAGAUGUUUUUAAAGUUAAAUGUUUAAUAUCACAAUUUUAUGCUGAAUAACUUACUGACUGCAACUGGGUGUGUGUACUGUGGGGAUACUUAUGAUUUUCCAAAUUAUUCUUUUUAGGGAAAGCUGUUCUCAGAUUCCGAAUCUGUACAAGCAAGAGCUGAGGCUGCUGUUCUUCUUAAGUAAUUGGAUUUUCCAGUUUGUACUGCACUUUCUAUUUAAGUUUGCCAUUCAGAUUACAUGGUACCGUGUUAACACAUCAUGGCUUUAACUAAAGAAAAUGUAUUCAAUCUUCUAUUGUUAUUGUUAAAUUGUGUGAACAAUACUCAAAAGGAAAUUGGUAGGCAUUUCAAAAAGAAAUAGGGAGGAUAAGUUCUAUGAUGCUUACUGUCUGAUCGAUAUCAGCUUUCACAUUGUCUUCCAUAAAUGAAGAUGGUCCAACCACAGUGUUGGGCAUUGAAGCUCCAGAAUUACCAAUUAUGCAUGCAACUAGACACCUCCAUGCAAGUCCUCCAGCCUGAGAGCAAGUUCCUCGCUAUGAGGCAACUGUAGAACACAAGUUACCAAUUAAGUACAAAGAUACAGAAUGGUGAAAUGAAAAUCCGUGAUUUUGAAUUAAAAAAUGACUGCCUGUUCCUCCCAAAUUUCUCCCAAAUAUCUGUCGUCCCUUCAUGUAUAAAUCUUUCUCCACUGGUUUCCACUCAGAGUUGCUACACAUCCCUUCAACUUGUCCACGUGUAGAAUUGGACAUGUGAACAUGAACUAGGAUUUAAGUUGACAUUAAUUUAGAUUUUCUUCUACAUUUGGUAGUAAAUAAUGAUUUACUUUUGAUUUCACAGUGGUUCAAUAGUCUAGCUCAUACUUAAAUUGGUGCUUAGAUGACGUAUUUGAUCUUCGUAAUCCAAAGGUGUUGAAAGAGAACGAAAAAACAAGAGUCUUGUUUAGAUCUUUGGAAUCUAAAAUGGCACUUAUAUUGUAAUGUCUAUGGCUUUCUGCAGGAAUGUGUGAGGGGAGCGCUUACAAACAAGACGGUUUUACCUGUAACCCAUCAAGUUGACUUCUUGCAUAACGUUGAUCUUAUUUUGGUCAUGAGAGAUGGGAUGAUAGUAUAGGCAGGAAAGUAUAACGAUUUGCUAAAUUCUGGCCUGGAUUUCAAAGAGCUUGUUGCUGCCCACGAUACCUCCAUGGAACUUGUAGAAAUGAGCAUUGCUGAUCCCAGCAAAAGUUCCCCCGGACCUCAAAUAUCUCGGCAACUCUUUUCAAAACGUGGGGAAGCAAAUGGUGAAAACAACUCUUUGGACCAACCGAAGUCUGAUAAAGCAACUUCUAAGCUUAUUUAAGAAGAGGAGAAAGAAACCGGCAAAGUUAGCUUUCACAUUUUCAAAGUUUAUUGCACAGAUGCUUACGGAUGGUGGGGUGUGGUGGUAGUGUUGUCAUUGACUCUGAUGUGGCAAGCAUCUCAAAUGGCGGGUGAUUACUGGCUGUCUUAUGAAACUGCAGCAAAGCGUGCAGCAUCAUUCAAACCAUCUGUGUUUAUCAUCUUCUAUGGGCUUAUUGCAUGUGUCGCAUUUGUUGUGGUAUUUAUCAGAGCACUUGCUGUGAUGUUUGUGGGGCUUAAAACAGCUCAAACAUUUUUCAAGCAAAUUCUUCACAGCAUCCUGCAUGCCCCCAUGUCGUUUUUCAAUACUACACCAAUUCUGGAAGAAUUCUGAGAAGGGCAUCAACUGAUCAGACGAAUUUGGGAAUUACCAUUGCCAUGUUCUUUACUGUAUUCUUGCUGAUUCCGCUUGCUAGGCUUAAAGUCUGGGUUACUUUCUUGCAUCAUCUCAAGAGUUAACUCGACUCGAUUCAAUCACGAAAGCUCCUGUAAUCCAUCAUUUCUCAGAAAGCAUAUAAGGGGUCAUGAUGAUUCGCUCUUUCAGAAUGCAAAACAUGUUCUCCAAGGAAAACGUUAAACGAGUUAAUGCCAACUUGCAUAUGGAUUUCCACAACAAUGGGUCCAAUGAGUGGUUGGGUUUCCGAUUGGAGAUGCUUGGGAGUUUACCUUUCUGCAUUUCCACUAUGUUCAUGAUCUUGUUGCCAAGCAGUAUUAUAAAGCCAGAGAAUGUUGGUUUAACUGUCUCCUACGGACUGUCCCUUAAUGGUGUGCUGUUCUGGGGGCCAUAUAUUUUAGCUGCUUCGUUGAAAAUAGGAUGGUGUCGGUUGAGAGGAUAUAACAGUUCACAAACAUUCCUUCAGAAGCAGCAUGGAAGAUUGUAGGCUGUGUUCCUCCUCCAAAUUGGCCUUCCCGUGGCCACUUUGAGCUCAAAGACUUGCAGAUCAGUUUGUCUUCAAUUCUGUUUAUAACUUCCACGGUCUGAAUGGACGUUUUCAUUAGUUGGUCGUCACCGUUACUUUGUCUCAAGCUAAUAACGCAUGGCCAAAUUUGAACUUCGUCGGCAAAACUCUUGAUAAUCAAUGAAUGAAACUUAUUAUAGGAUGUCAUGAGUACAUGAUGCAUGUAGAAAAUUUGCAUUGCGACCAGAGUACGAGUGUUACACCACAUGUCAUUAUAUAAGUGAAAAUAAGUACAUUUUAGGAUUUAGGGGCUGUUGGUAUUGAAUAUUACAUCCGAUAUGAGAAUUAAAGAAAAAUAUUAGCUAGUGCGUAUGUGUAUAAUUGGCCCUUGUUUGUUCCUCAAGUAAUCAAGUGAGAUUAGUUUAGGCUUAAUGUUAGUUAAGUAGGAUCAAAUUUAAAUUGACAUGCAAUACGUGUAUGUGUGUGUAUAUAUAUAUACUCAAAACCAAAAAGAGUUUUUAGACUAAUAAGUGUCAAGUUUUUAUGGGCUGGGAAUACUAGCUCAACCCCGAAAAUUUUCUUCAGCUAGAGGGUUGUUGAUCGUGGGAGAAGCACAUAGAAUGACACCAACUGUUAUUUUUUUAGAAUUUUGAAUUUAUGACGACCUUUUCUUUGUCUUUACCGUAAUCAAGGUAAAAAAGUUGCUACUGUAAUAAGACAAAUCUACCUCUUUCACACGACAAACCUUCUUCGUGUAAACCCACUUUUGCAAUGCAUGAACAAGUUUAAAUGGCGGUUGCAAUUGUAAU